UACGUAGGUGACCAGCGUUGUCCGGAUUUACUGGGCGUAAAGGGCUCGUAGGUGGCCAACUAAGUCGGACGUGAAAUCCCUCGGCUUAACCGGGGAACUGCGUCCGAUACUGGUUGGCUUGAGUUUGGGAGAGGGAUGCGGAAUUCCAGGUGUAGCGGUGAAAUGCGUAGAUAUCUGGAGGAACACCGGUGGCGAAGGCGGGUCUCUGGGCCGUAACUGACGCUGAGGAGCGAAAGCGUGGGGAGCGAACAGG
This 253-nucleotide ribosomal RNA is filed under the name uncultured bacterium. Its description in RNAcentral is "partial 16S ribosomal RNA". It matches the Rfam family "Bacterial small subunit ribosomal RNA", at positions 524 to 776 of the family's 1533-position model. The record is from RNAcentral.